This 290-nucleotide unclassified non-coding RNA is filed under the name Hevea brasiliensis (rubber tree). Lineage: Eukaryota; Viridiplantae; Streptophyta; Magnoliopsida; Malpighiales; Euphorbiaceae. The record is from RNAcentral.
ACUUAAAUUUUUUUUUUUUUUAACCUCGAGUGCCUGAACUUUUAUCAUUUUUGACUUUGAACUUUUUUUUUCCCUCAAGAUUUAGUUCUUUUCUAACAGAAGUUACGUGUGUGUAGGACAUGUUCGUUAAAUUCAGAUCACAACCAAAAUAAACAAUAGAAAAGAUCUCUAUCUCCAUUGUCAUCUAUGGAGGAUUAAAAGCUUGCACAGAGAGAGAGAGAGUUGUUGGAGACAGAGCCAGGGGCUAAAAGACUUGUUCUGCUUUGCUUUUUUUUUUUUUUUCACUCAUG